Molecule: ribosomal RNA, 548 nt
Filed under: uncultured Glomeromycotina
Lineage: Eukaryota; Fungi; Glomeromycota
Description: SSU rRNA
Rfam family: Eukaryotic small subunit ribosomal RNA
Source: RNAcentral
UUGGAGGGCAAGUCUGGUGCCAGCAGCCGCGGUAAUUCCAGCUCCAAUAGCGUAUAUCAAAGUUGUUGCAGUUAAAAAGCUCGUAGUUGAAUUUCGGGAUCAAUUUAUUGGUCGUGCUAUUGUACGUACUGGUAUUAUUGAUUCCUACCUUCUGACGAACCAUGAUGUCAUUAAUUUGGUGUCAUGGGGAAUCAGGACUGUUACUUUGAAAAAAUUAGAGUGUUUAAAGCAGGCUCACGCUUGAAUACAUUAGCAUGGAAUAACGAAAUAGGACGUUUGAUUCUAUUUUGUUGGUUUCUAGGAUCGACGUAAUGAUUAAUAGGGAUAGUUGGGGGCAUUAGUAUUCAAUUGUCAGAGGUGAAAUUCUUGGAUUUAUUGAAGACUAGCUACUGCGAAAGCAUUUGCCAAGGAUGUUUUCAUUAAUCAAGAACGAAAGUUAGGGGAUCGAAGACGAUCAGAUACCGUCGUAGUCUUAACCAUAAACUAUGCCGACUAGGGAUCGGAUGAUGUUAAUUUUUUAAUGACUCAUUCGGCGCCUUACGGGAAAC